GGUGGGUGAACCAGGCGGUUAGGUACCGGUCUGCAAAACCGUUUAGAUGAGUUCGACUCUCAUACCCACCU
Molecule: transfer RNA, 71 nt
Filed under: Aeriscardovia sp.
Lineage: Bacteria; Bacillati; Actinomycetota; Actinomycetes; Bifidobacteriales; Bifidobacteriaceae
Description: tRNA-Cys
Rfam family: tRNA
About the family: Transfer RNA (tRNA) molecules are approximately 80 nucleotides in length.
Source: RNAcentral